CAGACCAGGUUCCUGCUGAGGGAGGCAAUGGAAGGGAUGAGAGUUGCUAUUAGACCACAUGCCCACCAGAUGGCGCGAGAUGACCAGAAGCGCCCCUUUUCCGCUCCCUGGCUGCACCUAUGCCCAAAAUACAUGGUUGGAGAUAUGUUGCUGGAACCCCAAGUAGGUGACCAGAGAAGGCAGGUGGUUAAAGGGCACCUCUCACCCUUUGACCAAUUUUCUUCACCUCAGCGAGGGGACAUAAUUCUGCCAUGACAUCUGUAGUUCAUUGUCAGCAUCCUCAGGUGGCUCCGUGACCCGACAGUUCGACGGUCUGUCUGAGCUCUGAGUGCCCUUCGAUUGUUUGGAGGCAUAAGUCUGGACCUAGAAAGACCUGGCUUGAAUCUUGAAAUCAGGCUGGCAUCAUAUCUUCAUCUGCAGUGUAUUUCGGUGAGCUGAGAGGCAGAGAAAUAAAAAAAUUAUGCUGGUAAGACCAGGACUUUAAAAAUGUGUUCUGGGUUUAAAGGUCUGCCUCUGGAAAAUCAAAUGGCAAACUGACCCCAAGGAACGUGUCACACUCUGGCACCUGGGGACACCCAAUCAGAUUGGACAUGCCAAUCCCACGCUGAUGGCACAGCUGCAUCCCCUCCUUGAGGUGAGGAAAUUUGGCUAGAGUAUUAGAGGGACCCUGUAACCAACCCUAAACCUAUGAUCAUGUCCUGAGUGUUCCUACAGUCUGCUUCAACUCCAUCUUAGAACCUGGAAUUUCAGCCAGGGUUCUGCCUGUGCUCUGGCGCCAUCUGGUGGUCUCUCCCUCUAAUGACAACCCUUUGCCCUUCCGUUUCCCUCAGCAGCCCCCAAUACUGCUCUGGCCUUAGACACCUGCCAUCGUCAUUUGUUCCUUCUCACAUUUUAGCGCCCUGACUUGGGCAUUUCUCUCUCAAAAUCUCCCAGAGCAUGCACCUCAACACCUUAACACCCUGAGAACCUUCUUUAAAUCAAUCAGCUUACUUUCAUUCAUGAAACUUGAAGUCAGCUUCCUGUGAAACAGAGGUGGUGGUGGGGAGGCUCAGAGAAAAAUAGAAGAGGGAACUUUGGGGAGAUGUCUUGAGGGAAAAAGAGUGAUUUUAACUGCCACCCACCAAAAUUUUCACAACUUUUAUGAGCUCCAUUCAUGACCCUAGCCCCUUUUUCCACAUGACAACUUCAAGGAGGCCAGCAGCUUGAGAAUUUUAAGUCCAAGACUGGAUACAGGUAUUUGGGGGUCCAGACUGCUGCCUCUCAAAGUUUGACCCCAGAGAUCUUGUCAAACUCUCUUGCCCUGGACCUCCUUACUGGGUUGGAAGAGCCAAUCAAUGCUGAAGACACAUCUGUUUCUUCUUUCUUAGGUGAGCCAAUUAGGCCAGAGAGACAGAGGUGAACUGUAAUUAAUCCCAACACUCUGGGCACAACCUACCUUCAGCCCCAUCUCUGAGCCUGGAGGUACAGCCAGAGCGCUUCAGGUGGGCUCUGCCCAUGCUGUGGUGCUACCUCGUGGCUGUCUGCUCUAACACCAAUUCUCAGCCCUUCCCCCUUUCUUGCUCAGCAGCCGGGGACUGAACUGGCCUUAGAUACUUCCCAGGUGGAUUUUGUUCCAGCUCUCCCUCUCAACCCAAGGAAAUGCCCUAGAGAUGGGGUCAUGAUUUCUCAAUGGCUCCCAGUGCGCGCCCCCCCCUCCCCGCUCCCGCCCCGUUACCUGCAAUCUGUCAGCAGCCCUGCAUUUUCAAUCCCAUGAAGAGGCUUUAAAUUAGCACCCUUUAGCCUUGUGAUCCAGACUGAAAUCAAUAAACCUUCCCUCUCCACCAUCUAAUACAUUCAAGAUUUUAGAUAGGGCCCCCUAACAGGUUUUGAGUAGAGGAGGAAGAGGCUCCGAUGGAAAGGGAAGCAGGAACUUUGGCGAGAAUCCUUAAGAAAAAAAUCACAGGGAUUCCCAUAGCUGUUCAGCAAUAUAACACAAUGUUUCUGUGCUCCAUUCAUGAAUAACAGCCCCCCUUUCCACAUGAUAACCCCACACAAGCCGGAGGUUUGAAAAUGGCAAUCCCAAGGUUCAAGGCAGAUGUUUCUUGGUCCAGAGUCUUUCCCUACACCAAACAAAGGGCAAUCUAACCCCCAGUGAACAUGCCGAACUCUCUGGCCCUGGGCCACCCGACCAGGCUGGAAAUGCCUAUCAAAUUUUGAGGGCAUAGGUGUCCCCUCUCUGAGGUGAGGCAUUUGGGGCCAGAGAGUCAGAGGUGCCUUGUAGCCAACCCCUAAACUCUGGGAACAUUCUGGGGGUUCCACCAACCCAUCUUUGAGCCCAUCUCUGAGCCUGGAGGUAGGGGCCAGGAAGCUGCAGGCAGGCUCUGUUGCUGCCUUGGCGCCAUCUGGUGGCCAUCACCUCUAACAUCAACUCUCAGCCCUGACUUCUGUUUCCCUUAGCAGCUCACCAGCAUUGUGCUGGCCUUAGACACCUGCCAGCUUGAUCUCCUUCCCCCUCACCCUUCUUUCCCAGUGACAUGAACAACCAGGGCCUUCCAGAGGCACGUGUUUCUUUCUCGAAGUCAGCCAUGCACUUGAUCCUCUCUCCACUACUCAUUUUAGUCAAUGAGCCAAACUCACUUCAACUCAGGCAACUACAUGUCCAUUAAUCAGCUCCCACCUGCCACUGAUGUUACUUGGCUGGAGGUAGUAUUCUUCCUCAGGGGUGAGUGGAAGAAGGGAAAGGCUCAAAUAAAGGAAAGGAAGGAAAUUUUCAGAGAGCUGUCAAAAGACAUGUCUCUAGGAUGGAUGGAACAUGUCCAACAAGAAACAUCUGCUUUUACAAUCUCCAUUCAUGACCAACUGCACAGAUUUCCUGAAGUCAAAAAGCAUUCAACCUGAUCCUGGAACACUGUAUGCCCCAUAUUCAAGCCAACAACUUCAGGGUCAAAUUUCUGCCUCUGCAGAAUAAAAAGUCAAAUAUCUUGACAGCCUGAGUUAUCUGGACUUUGAUCUACGCAAGUU
This 3000-nucleotide long non-coding RNA is filed under the name Sus scrofa (pig). Its description in RNAcentral is "lncRNA (ENSSSCG00000053298.1)". The record is from RNAcentral. Lineage: Eukaryota; Metazoa; Chordata; Mammalia; Artiodactyla; Suidae.